This is a non-coding RNA of Schistosoma rodhaini, 45 nucleotides long. The record is from Rfam. NCBI's taxonomy places the organism in Eukaryota, Metazoa, Platyhelminthes, Trematoda, Strigeidida, Schistosomatidae.
AUUUAGCUGACGAGUCCCAAAUAGGACGAAACGCGCAUCCUGGAU